RNAcentral lists this ribosomal RNA (253 nucleotides) under uncultured bacterium. Its description in RNAcentral is "partial 16S ribosomal RNA". It matches the Rfam family "Bacterial small subunit ribosomal RNA", at positions 524 to 776 of the family's 1533-position model. The record is from RNAcentral.
UACAGAGGUCUCAAGCGUUGUUCGGAUUCAUUGGGCGUAAAGGGUGCGCAGGCGGCCAAGUGUGUCAGGUGUGAAAGCUCGAGGCUUAACCUCGAAACUGCGCCUGAAACUAUUUGGCUAGAGUACUGGAGAGGGAAGUGGAAUUCACGGUGUAGCAGUGAAAUGCGUAGAUAUCGUGAGGAACACCAAUGGCGAAGGCAACUUCCUGGACAGUUACUGACGCUCAGGCACGAAAGCGUGGGGAGCAAAAGGG